RNAcentral lists this ribosomal RNA (886 nucleotides) under uncultured bacterium. RNAcentral describes it as "bacterial SSU rRNA". It matches the Rfam family "Bacterial small subunit ribosomal RNA", at positions 1 to 899 of the family's 1533-position model. The record is from RNAcentral. RNAcentral also lists the same sequence under 1 other name.
UGGAUCCAGAACUUUGAUUAUGGCUCAGGACGAACGCUGGCGGCGCGCCUAACACAUGCAAGUCGAACGAGAGAUGAGGAGCUUGCUCUUCAAAUCGAGUGGCGAACGGGUGAGUAACGCGUGAGGAACCUGCCUCAAAGAGGGGGACAACAGUUGGAAACGACUGCUAAUACCGCAUAAGCCCACGGCUCGGCAUCGAGCAGAGGGAAAAGGAGCAAUCCGCUUUGAGAUGGCCUCGCGUCCGAUUAGCUAGUUGGUGAGGUAACGGCCCACCAAGGCGACGAUCGGUAGCCGGACUGAGAGGUUGAACGGCCACAUUGGGACUGAGACACGGCCCAGACUCCUACGGGAGGCAGCAGUGGGGAAUAUUGCACAAUGGGGGAAACCCUGAUGCAGCGACGCCGCGUGGAGGAAGAAGGUCUUCGGAUUGUAAACUCCUGUUGUUGAGGAAGAUAAUGACGGUACUCAACAAGGAAGUGACGGCUAACUACGUGCCAGCAGCCGCGGUAAAACGUAGGUCACAAGCGUUGUCCGGAAUUACUGGGUGUAAAGGGAGCGCAGGCGGGAGAACAAGUUGGAAGUGAAAUCCAUGGGCUCAACCCAUGAACUGCUUUCAAAACUGUUUUUCUUGAGUAGUGCAGAGGUAGGCGGAAUUCCCGGUGUAGCGGUGGAAUGCGUAGAUAUCGGGAGGAACACCAGUGGCGAAGGCGGCCUACUGGGCACCAACUGACGCUGAGGCUCGAAAGUGUGGGUAGCAAACAGGAUUAGAUACCCUGGUAGUCCACACCGUAAACGAUGAUUACUAGGUGUUGGAGGAUUGACCCCUUCAGUGCCGCAGUUAACACAAUAAGUAAUCCACCUGGGGAGUACGACCGCAAGGUUGCAA